GGGUGCUUGGCGCAAUGGUAGCGUGUUCGGCUUCGAUUGCCUUACGUAACUACAUACCGAAAGGUUGCAGGUUCGAGUCCUGCAGUGCUCA
Molecule: non-coding RNA, 91 nt
Organism: Mycena vitilis
Lineage: Eukaryota; Fungi; Basidiomycota; Agaricomycetes; Agaricales; Mycenaceae
Source: the annotation of a GenBank genome assembly